RNAcentral lists this ribosomal RNA (253 nucleotides) under uncultured bacterium. RNAcentral describes it as "partial 16S ribosomal RNA". It matches the Rfam family "Bacterial small subunit ribosomal RNA", at positions 524 to 776 of the family's 1533-position model. The record is from RNAcentral.
GACAGAGGUGCCAAGCGUUAGGCGGAAUCACUGGGCUUAAAGCGUGUGUAGGCGGAUCGUUAAGUACCUUGUGAAAUCCCACGGCUCAACCGUGGAACUGCUGGGUAUACUGGCGAUCUUGAGCCACCUAGGGGCGAGCGGAACAAGCGGUGGAGCGGUGAAAUGCGUAGAUAUCAUCUGGAACGCCAAUGGUGCAGACAGGCUGCUGGGGAUGUACUGACGCUGAGGCACGAAAGCCAGGGGAGCAAACGGG